CAUUAAGAAGCUAUGCGACAGCACUAGCCUUUUAAGCUAGAGAAAGAGGUCCGCCAACACCUCCUUAAUGA
RNAcentral lists this transfer RNA (71 nucleotides) under Atlantisia rogersi (Inaccessible Island rail). RNAcentral's name for it is "tRNA-Lys". The record is from RNAcentral. Lineage: Eukaryota; Metazoa; Chordata; Aves; Gruiformes; Rallidae.